This 253-nucleotide ribosomal RNA is filed under the name uncultured bacterium. RNAcentral's name for it is "partial 16S ribosomal RNA". It matches the Rfam family "Bacterial small subunit ribosomal RNA", at positions 524 to 776 of the family's 1533-position model. The record is from RNAcentral.
UACGUAGGGGGCUAGCGUUGUCCGGAAUCAUUGGGCGUAAAGCGCGUGUAGGCGGCCCGGUAAGUCCGCUGUAAAAGUCGGGGGCUCAACCCUCGAAAGCCGGUGGAUACUGUCGGGCUAGAGUACGGAAGAGGCGAGUGGAAUUCCAGGUGUAGCGGUGAAAUGCGUAGAUAUCUGGAGGAAUACCGGUGGCGAAGGCGGCAUCCUGGACCAUUACUGACGCUGAGGCGCGAAAGCUAGGGGAGCAAACGGG